UGGCGCGUAGGUCAGUCUGGUAGACCGCCUCGCUUACAUCGAGGAUGGCCGCGGUUCGAAUCCGCGCGCGCCAA
This 74-nucleotide transfer RNA is filed under the name Halorarum halophilum. RNAcentral describes it as "Halobaculum halophilum tRNA". It matches the Rfam family "tRNA". Rfam says of the family: Transfer RNA (tRNA) molecules are approximately 80 nucleotides in length. Their secondary structure includes four short double-helical elements and three loops (D, anti-codon, and T loops). Further hydrogen bonds mediate the characteristic L-shaped molecular structure. tRNAs have two regions of fundamental functional importance: the anti-codon, which is responsible for specific mRNA codon recognition, and the 3' end, to which the tRNAs corresponding amino acid is attached (by aminoacyl-tRNA synthetases). tRNAs cope with the degeneracy of the genetic code in two manners: having more than one tRNA (with a specific anti-codon) for a particular amino acid; and 'wobble' base-pairing, i.e. permitting non-standard base-pairing at the 3rd anti-codon position. The record is from Rfam by way of RNAcentral. Lineage: Archaea; Methanobacteriati; Methanobacteriota; Halobacteria; Halobacteriales; Haloferacaceae.